RNAcentral lists this ribosomal RNA (470 nucleotides) under Bacillus sp. R-45794. RNAcentral's name for it is "bacterial SSU rRNA". It matches the Rfam family "Bacterial small subunit ribosomal RNA", at positions 21 to 483 of the family's 1533-position model. Lineage: Bacteria; Bacillati; Bacillota; Bacilli; Caryophanales; Bacillaceae. The record is from RNAcentral.
GGCUCAGGAUGAACGCUGGCGGCGUGCCUAAUACAUGCAAGUCGAGCGAACUGAUUAGAAGCUUGCUUCUAUGACGUUAGCGGCGGACGGGUGAGUAACACGUGGGCAACCUGCCUGUAAGACUGGGAUAACUUCGGGAAACCGAAGCUAAUACCGGAUAGGAUCUUCUCCUUCAUGGGAGAUGAUUGAAAGAUGGUUUCGGCUAUCACUUACAGAUGGGCCCGCGGUGCAUUAGCUAGUUGGUGAGGUAACGGCUCACCAAGGCMACGAUGCAUAGCCGACCUGAGAGGGUGAUCGGCCACACUGGGACUGAGACACGGCCCAGACUCCUACGGGAGGCAGCAGUAGGGAAUCUUCCGCAAUGGACGAAAGUCUGACGGAGCAACGCCGCGUGAGUGAUGAAGGCUUUCGGGUCGUAAAACUCUGUUGUUAGGGAAGAACAAGUACAAGAGUAACUGCUUGUACCUGAC